AUUGAACGCUGGCGGCAGGCCUAACACAUGCAAGUCGAGCGGUAGAGAGAAGCUUGCUUCUCUUGAGAGCGGCGGACGGGUGAGUAAUGCCUAGGAAUCUGCCUAGUGGUGGGGGAUAACGUUCGGAAACGGACGCUAAUACCGCAUACGUCCUACGGGAGAAAGCGGGGGACCUUCGGGCCUCGCGCCAUUAGAUGAGCCUAGGUCGGAUUAGCUAGUUGGUGAGGUAAUGGCUCACCAAGGCUACGAUCCGUAACUGGUCUGAGAGGAUGAUCAGUCACACUGGAACUGAGACACGGUCCAGACUCCUACGGGAGGCAGCAGUGGGGAAUAUUGGACAAUGGGCGAAAGCCUGAUCCAGCCAUGCCGCGUGUGUGAAGAAGGUCUUCGGAUUGUAAAGCACUUUAAGUUGGGAGGAAGGGUAGUAACUUAAUACGUUGCUACUUUGACGUACCGA
RNAcentral lists this ribosomal RNA (457 nucleotides) under uncultured Pseudomonas sp. RNAcentral's name for it is "bacterial SSU rRNA". It matches the Rfam family "Bacterial small subunit ribosomal RNA", at positions 30 to 481 of the family's 1533-position model. The record is from RNAcentral. Lineage: Bacteria; Pseudomonadati; Pseudomonadota; Gammaproteobacteria; Pseudomonadales; Pseudomonadaceae.